UUAUAUUCAUCAGAUUCAUUAGGUUGGGCAUGAUUUAAUGUUCACACACCAUUUUUCAAGACGCGUCUUUUCUUUCUUUUGACUCAUGCGCUUGAAUUUGCGCUGGGACUUCUUGUUGCCACCUUCUGCCUUCCGGUGUUGGGAUUUUUAUUGUUUCCUGCUGGGGAUUCUUGUUGUAACCUUCUGCCUUCCGGUGGGGUUACUGACUUCAAAAUCUGCAGUAUAAGACUGAAAAGUAUUCCUCUCGUUAUACAGGUGGGCGCCUGGACAUGAAAUGAAAAUGUAUACCCGCAUUAUACUGGUGGGCGACCUGGAAAUGAAAAACUGAAAUGUAUGCCCGCAUUAUACUGGUGGGCGACCUAGAACAGAAAUGAAAAGACAGAAAUGUAUUCCCGCAUUAUACUGGUGGGCGACCUAGAACAUGAAAUGAAAACAUAAAUGCAUACCCGCAUUAUACUGGUGGGCGACCUAGAACAUUAAAUGAAAAGAGAAAUUCAUACCCGCAUUAUACUGGUGGGCGACCUAGAACAUGAAAUGAAAAGAGAAAUGCAUACCCGCAUUAUACUGGUGGGCGACCUAGAACAUGAAAUGAAAAGAGAAAUGCAUACCCGCAUUAUACUGGCGGGCGACCUAGAACAUGAAAUGAAAACAUAAAUGCAUACCCGCAUUAUACUGGCGGGCGACCUAGAACAUGAAAUGAAAAGAGAAAUGCAUACCCGCAUUAUACUGGUGGGCGACCUAGAACAUGAAAUGAAAAGAGAAAUGAAUACCCACAUUAUACUGGUGGGCGACCUAGAACAUGAAAUGAAAACAUAAAUGCAUACCCGCAUUAUACUGGUGGGCGACCUAGAACAUGAAAUGAAAACAUAAAUGUAUACCCGCAUUAUACUGGUGGGCGACCUAGAACAUGAAAUGAAAACAUAAAUGUAUUCCCGCAUUAUACUGGUGGGCGACCUAGAACUUAAAUGUAUUCCCGCAUUAUACUGGUGGGCGACCUAGAACAUGAAAUGAAAAGAGAAAUUCAUUCCCGCAUUAUACUGGUGGGCGACCUAGAGCUUAAAUGUAUUCCCGCAUUAUACUGGUGGGCGACCUAGAACUUAAAUGUAUUCCCGCAUUAUACUGGUGGGCGACCUAGAGCUUAAAUGUAUU
Molecule: long non-coding RNA, 1149 nt
Filed under: Nicotiana tabacum (common tobacco)
Lineage: Eukaryota; Viridiplantae; Streptophyta; Magnoliopsida; Solanales; Solanaceae
Description: long non-coding RNA (NTAB_LNC015235)
Source: RNAcentral